CACGUAGGGGGCGAGCGUUGUCCGGAUUUAUUGGGCGUAAGGAGCUCGUAGGCGGUUCGGCAAGUCGGGUGUGAAAUUUCGAGGCUCAACCUCGAAACGCCACUCGAUACUGCUGUGACUGGAGUCCGGUAGAGGAGUGCGGAAUUCCUGGUGUAGCGGUGAAAUGCGCAGAUAUCAGGAGGAACACCAACGGCGAAGGCAGCACUCUGGGCCGGUACUGACGCUGAGGAGCGAAAGCGUGGGGAGCAAACAGG
RNAcentral lists this ribosomal RNA (254 nucleotides) under uncultured bacterium. RNAcentral's name for it is "partial 16S ribosomal RNA". It matches the Rfam family "Bacterial small subunit ribosomal RNA", at positions 524 to 776 of the family's 1533-position model. The record is from RNAcentral.